AGUCGAACGGGACAUUAUUUGUAGCAAUACAGAUGAUGUUCAGUGGCGAAAGGGUGCGUAACACGUGGGCAAUCUACCGAGAAGUGGGGGAUAGCUCGCCGAAAGGCGAAUUAAUACCGCAUGUGACCCUGGGCAUCCUUGCCUGGGCGUCAAAGCCGGGGCAACCUGGCGCUUUUUGAUGAGCCCGCGGCCUAUCAGCUAGUUGGUGAGGUAACGGCUCACCAAGGCUAUGACGGGUAGCUGGUCUGAGAGGACGACCAGCCACACUGGAACUGAGACACGGUCCAGACACCUACGGGUGGCAGCAGUCGAGAAUUUUUCACAAUGGGGGCAGCCCUGAUGGAGCGACGCCGCGUGGAGGAUGAAGGUCUUCGGAUUGUAAACUCCUGUCAUUGGUGAACAAGAUGGGCGGGGUAACUCCUUGCCUGUUUGCUAGUAGCCGAAGAGGAAGGGACGGCUAACUCUGUGCCAGCAGCCGCGGUAAUACAGAGGUCCCGAGCGUUGUUCGGAUUUAUUGGGCGUAAAGGGUGCGUAGGCGGCGGAGUAAGUUGGGUGUGAAAUCCCGAGGCUCAACCUCGGAAUGGCAUUCAAUACUGCUUCGCUUGAGUACUGGAGAGGAGGCUGGAAUUUACGGUGUAGCAGUGAAAUGCGUAGAUAUCGUAAGGAAGGCCGGUGGCGAAAGCGAGCCUCUGGACAGUUACUGACGCUGAUGCACGAAGGCCAGGGGAGC
Molecule: ribosomal RNA, 730 nt
Filed under: uncultured bacterium
Lineage: Bacteria
Description: bacterial SSU rRNA
Rfam family: Bacterial small subunit ribosomal RNA
Source: RNAcentral